RNAcentral lists this non-coding RNA (28 nucleotides) under Rattus norvegicus (Norway rat). The record is from RNAcentral. Lineage: Eukaryota; Metazoa; Chordata; Mammalia; Rodentia; Muridae.
UCAAAUGCAUGAGGAGCCAGCACUCAAA